This 752-nucleotide long non-coding RNA is filed under the name Citrus x clementina. Its description in RNAcentral is "Citrus clementina (C. clementina) long non-coding RNA (CCLE_LNC001932)". The record is from RNAcentral. Lineage: Eukaryota; Viridiplantae; Streptophyta; Magnoliopsida; Sapindales; Rutaceae.
AUUAGAUAAGUUAUACUAAACAGACACUUAAUUUUUUUCAACUCCAUGAAAAUAAGAACCCAAAAUACUAGUAAAAUUUUUAACACUGCACGUCCUUUUGAUAUUUUAGUUUUUAGGCCACUGAUUGUCUGCUCAUAUUUCACAAAAUGAACGUUACGGUGUAUUCUCCAAACUUCUUUGAUCAGAUUUUUUUUUUUUUUUUGUCAUUAGAAAUAGGUAGGGUGAUUAAUGUUAAAAAUUGUAUGUUUAUUAAGUGGUAAAAAUGUUAUUUUAUGUUUUUAUUACAAUUUAUAUUUGUAUUUAUUUAAUUAUUAUGAAUUAUUAAUAAUAUUUUUAAAUACUUAAUUUUUUGUAUUUUUGAGUAUUUAUAAGGUAAAAUAAUAAUUUCAUGCAAUUUGACACUCCAAACAGAUAAACAGGAAGUCGUCGAGGUGGAUUUACGUCUUUUGUUGCAAAAGUAAAACUUAUUUAACAAGUUAGGUGUGAGAAUUACUAGUGGAAUAAGUUAAAUAUGCUUAAGUGAAUUGAGUUAGGUUUAUUUUUGGUUAGUGGAACAAAUCUAUGGUUAUGAAAUAAUUGGCUUUGUUUAUGUGUUGUGUGAAUUGAUUAUGAUUCACGAGCUAGUAUAAAUGUAUGUAGUUGCUAUCUCUUUCUCUACACCUUUCUUUCACUUCUUUCUCUCCAAAUUCUUCUCCUCAUCUCUUCUAAAUACUCUUCUUUAAUAUUUUUAAAAUUAUUUUCAUAAUAAUUUU